RNAcentral lists this ribosomal RNA (465 nucleotides) under uncultured bacterium. RNAcentral's name for it is "partial 16S ribosomal RNA". It matches the Rfam family "Bacterial small subunit ribosomal RNA", at positions 28 to 507 of the family's 1533-position model. The record is from RNAcentral.
GACGAACGCUGGCGGCGUGCUUAACACAUGCAAGUCGAACGGAAAGGCCCUGCUUGCAGGGUACUCGAGUGGCGAACGGGUGAGUAACACGUGGGUGAUCUGCCCUGCACUUCGGGAUAAGCUUGGGAAACUGGGUCUAAUACCGGAUAGGAGCCAUCUUUAGUGUGGUGGUUGGAAAGUUUUUUCGGUGUAGGAUGAGCUCGCGGCCUAUCAGCUUGUUGGUGGGGUAAUGGCCUACCAAGGCGGCGACGGGUAGCCGGCCUGAGAGGGUGUACGGCCACAUUGGGACUGAGAUACGGCCCAGACUCCUACGGGAGGCAGCAGUGGGGAAUAUUGCACAAGGGGCGCAAGCCUGAUGCAGCGACGCCGCGUGGGGGAUGAAGGCCUUCGGGUUGUAAACUCCUUUCGCUAGGGACGAAGCUUUUUGUGACGGUACCUAGAUAAGAAGCACCGGCUAACUACGUG